RNAcentral lists this ribosomal RNA (229 nucleotides) under uncultured bacterium. Its description in RNAcentral is "partial 16S ribosomal RNA". It matches the Rfam family "Bacterial small subunit ribosomal RNA", at positions 568 to 796 of the family's 1533-position model. The record is from RNAcentral.
UACGCAGGCUGGCAAUUAAGUCAGUGGUGAAAUCCCACCGCUCAACGGUGGAACUGCCAUUGAUACUGGUUGUCUUGAGUGCAGUAGAGGUAUGCGGAAUGUGACAUGUAGCGGUGAAAUGCAUAGAUAUGUCAUAGAACACCGAUUGCGAAGGCAGCAUACUGGACUGUAACUGACGCUGAGGUACGAAAGCGUGGGGAGCGAACAGGAUUAGAUACCCUGGUAGUCC